Molecule: non-coding RNA, 21 nt
Filed under: Caenorhabditis elegans
Lineage: Eukaryota; Metazoa; Nematoda; Chromadorea; Rhabditida; Rhabditidae
Source: RNAcentral
UUCGCAAGUGCCCCCAAAAAU